AGUCGAGGGGCAGCAUUUCAGUUUGCUUGCAAACUGGAGAUGGCGACCGGCGCACGGGUGAGUAACACGUAUCCAACCUGCCGAUAACUCGGGGAUAGCCUUUCGAAAGAAAGAUUAAUACCCGAUGGYAUAAUUAGACCGCAUGGUCUUAUUAUUAAAGAAUUUCGGUUAUCGAUGGGGAUGCGUUCCAUUAGGCAGUUGGUGAGGUAACGGCUCACCAAACCUUCGAUGGAUAGGGGUUCUGAGAGGAAGGUCCCCCACAUUGGAACUGAGACACGGUCCAAACUCCUACGGGAGGCAGCAGUGAGGAAUAUUGGUCAAUGGACGARAGYCUGAACCAGCCAAGUAGCGUGAAGGAUGACUGCCCUAUGGGUUGUAAACUUCUUUUAUAUGGGAAUAAAGUUUUCCACGUGUGGAAUUUUGUAUGUACCAUAUGAAUAAGGAUCGGCUAACUCCGUGCCAGCAGCCGCGGUAAUACGGAGGAUCCGAGCGUUAUCCGGAUUUAUUGGGUUUAAAGGGAGCGUAGGUGGACAGUUAAGUCAGUUGUGAAAGUUUGCGGCUCAACCGUAAAAUUGCAGUUGAUACUGGCUGUCUUGAGUACAGUAGAGGUGGGCGGAAUUCGUGGUGUAGCGGUGAAAUGCUUAGAUAUCACGAAGAACUCCGAUUGCGAAGGCAGCUCACUGGACUGCAACUGACACUGAUGCUCGAAAGUGUGGGUAUCAAACAGGAUUAGAUACCCUGGUAGUCCACACAGUAAACGAUGAAUACUCGCUGUUUGCGAUAUACAGUAAGCGGCCAAGCGAAAGCAUUAAGUAUUCCACCUGGGGAGUACGCCGGCAACGGUGAAACUCAAAGGAAUUGACGGGGGCCCGCACAAGCGGAGGAACAUGUGGUUUAAUUCGAUGAU
This 907-nucleotide ribosomal RNA is filed under the name bacterium IARFR1886. Its description in RNAcentral is "bacterial SSU rRNA". It matches the Rfam family "Bacterial small subunit ribosomal RNA", at positions 60 to 958 of the family's 1533-position model. The record is from RNAcentral.